Molecule: ribosomal RNA, 478 nt
Filed under: Leptopodidae sp. YT-2009
Lineage: Eukaryota; Metazoa; Arthropoda; Insecta; Hemiptera; Leptopodidae
Description: eukaryotic LSU rRNA
Rfam family: Eukaryotic large subunit ribosomal RNA
Source: RNAcentral
GUGAAACCUAAAGGCGGAAUGAAAGUAAAGGAAAAGUCCUUUUCUGAGGGGAGAUGGGUGUACGUCCGCUUGUCGGAGUCAUCCCGCAUUCCCGGGGCGUCUCUUUCUCAUUGCGAGUGGAGGCGCACCUAGAGCGCACACGUUGGGACCCGAAAGAUGGUGAACUAUGCCUGGCCAGGACGAAGCCAGGGGAAACCCUGGUGGAGGUCCGCAGCGAUUCUGACGUGCAAAUCGAUCGUCAGAGCUGGGUAUAGCGGCGGAAGACUAAUCGAACCAUCUAGUAGCUGGUUCCCUCCGAAGUUUCCCUCAGGAUAGCUGGCGCUCGAGUGUGACGAGUCUCACCUGGUAGAGCGAAUGAUUAGAGGCCUUGGGGUCGAAACGACCUCAACCUAUUCUCAAACUCCAAACAGAUGAGAACCCCGGCUUGCUUGAAAGUGAAGCCAAGGGCUCUGAUCAGAGUGCCAAGUGGGCCAAUUUU